UACGGGGGGGGCAAGCGUUGUUCGGAAUUACUGGGCGUAAAGGGCUCGUAGGUGGCCAACUAAGUCAGACGUGAAAUCCCUCGGCUUAACCGGGGAACUGCGUCUGAUACUGGAUGGCUUGAGUUCGGGAGAGGGAUGCGGAAUUCCAGGUGUAGCGGUGAAAUGCGCAGAUAUCAGGAGGAACACCCGUGGCGAAAGCGGCUCUCUGGGACGGUACUGACGCUGAGACGCGAAAGCGUGGGGAGCAAACAGG
This 253-nucleotide ribosomal RNA is filed under the name uncultured bacterium. RNAcentral's name for it is "partial 16S ribosomal RNA". It matches the Rfam family "Bacterial small subunit ribosomal RNA", at positions 524 to 776 of the family's 1533-position model. The record is from RNAcentral.